GUCCUGAUUUCGAAAUCCCGGACUUUAAAAAAUGAAAUCCAGAGGUCCCGAAUUUAAAGUAAUUUAAAAUAAAUCCCGCCAUCCCGAAAUUCGAAAAAAGAAUUCCCGGAUCCCGAAAAGAUUAAUUCCGAAAUCCCGUAUUUAAAAAUACCCGAUCCCGGAGUUCCGAUCCCGCCCCCCCCUUUCCCUCAUUUGUGUGGAUGAACUAAAUAACAAAACAAACAUUUACGAGUCAUGUCUCAGCCUGUGUGCAAUUGUAUUUUUUUUUUUUUUUUUUUUGUGUUUUCUUUUUUUUUUUUUGGGAGGGGGGAUUAUUUUGGUAGGCAUAUUAAACAUUAAUUUGUACAUCUGUUUUUAAGUUAUAUCUCAAUCUCCGUAAAAAAAAAGUACACUCUUCAUGUAUGAACAAAACUUUUGACGGUCUCCACCUGUAUAUAAAGAUUUACUUACUAUAAAAAUCCUUGACCGAGACAAAAUGCGUAAUUAUCAUUUUUUAAAAGAAUUAAUAUAUGGCGAAGAUGUAUGAGAUUUUGAGACAAAUAUAAUGAGGAAAUAGUUCUCAAUACAACAAAGGAUAUAUCUCGUAUUCCACAAAAGAUUGUCGAUAUUCUUUAUGAUAUAGUAUUGAUUUUGAUUUAUUGCUGAUGUUUAACGCCACGUUUCUCUAUCUUUGACAUUUUUCUUCUAGUUUAGUAUAUUUACCACAUGUAUCUGCUAGCAUCCGUAUAAUUCGAAAAUGCUCAAAUUAGAAUAUAAAAACAAUUGCCAAAAAGUUUGCACUUGUAAUCGGGAGGGGGGGGGGGCAAUGAAAUGUUUUCAAAAUAUUUUAGCAAUU
This 835-nucleotide long non-coding RNA is filed under the name Mytilus galloprovincialis (Mediterranean mussel). Lineage: Eukaryota; Metazoa; Mollusca; Bivalvia; Mytilida; Mytilidae. The record is from RNAcentral.